CUUAUGGCCAACUGCCAGUGUCUCAGGAGGUGAAGAGUUUGUGAGUGAAGGGAGUCCUCAGCUUGUCGUCUUCUGAGACCCAAGGGGAUGUACAAGGUUCUGCUUCUCUGAACACAAGAGGAACCAGAAGCGAAAUAAAAGUUUGUUAGCCACGCAGCAACAUGCUCAGGAUGACCUCAUGCUGUUCUUCCUUUCCUGCGGAUGUCCCAUCCCCCUGCUGAUUCAUAUGUAAAUUGCGCUUCCAUUGUUUUUGGUCAUGCCUUGUUUAGUUUCAGUGGAGACAGGUAGCUAGCUGCCUUCCCUUCUGUCGGGGAGAAAACCUGUUUCUCCCUUUGUUUGGUCACAGACUUUAAAGCAUAAUAUCAGAAGUAUUCAUAAUUCCUUAUAUAGCAUUAAUGCAGACAUAUCACAAUGGUAUUAAUCACCAGUGUGUCAUUAGCUUUCAUAAAAGAUCUUGCUGUAUUA
Mauremys reevesii (Reeves's turtle) is the source of this 465-nucleotide long non-coding RNA. RefSeq lists it as uncharacterized. The transcript has 3 exons. The record is from RefSeq and is a predicted model, not a curated record. Lineage: Eukaryota; Metazoa; Chordata; Testudines; Geoemydidae.